UACGGAGGGGGCAAGCGUUGGCCGGAAUUAUUGGGCGUAAAGAGCGUGUAGGCGGUCCGGUAAGUCAGUUGUGAAAGUCAAGGGCUCAACCCUUGAAAGCCGGUUGAUACUGUCGGGCUAGAGUCCGGAAGAGGCGAGUGGAAUUCCCGGUGUAGCGGUGAAAUGCGCAGAUAUCGGGAGGAACACCAAUGGCGAAGGCAGCUCGCUGGGACGGUACUGACGCUGAGACGCGAAAGCGUGGGGAGCAAACAGG
This 253-nucleotide ribosomal RNA is filed under the name uncultured bacterium. RNAcentral's name for it is "partial 16S ribosomal RNA". It matches the Rfam family "Bacterial small subunit ribosomal RNA", at positions 524 to 776 of the family's 1533-position model. The record is from RNAcentral.